This 118-nucleotide non-coding RNA is filed under the name Geobacter sp. RNAcentral's name for it is "MoCo sequence". It matches the Rfam family "Molybdenum/Tungsten riboswitch aptamer (Moco RNA motif)". Lineage: Bacteria; Pseudomonadati; Thermodesulfobacteriota; Desulfuromonadia; Geobacterales; Geobacteraceae. The record is from RNAcentral.
UUGUCUUUGCCUCUCCGAGCUUCGCCGCCUACCAGGUUCUCCUCAUGGCGGCAAGCCUGAGGGUACUGCUGGAAACGGCGGUGCCUCCCUUUUGGAAAGGAGAGCCUUGAGCAGAAGC